RNAcentral lists this ribosomal RNA (460 nucleotides) under uncultured bacterium. RNAcentral describes it as "partial 16S ribosomal RNA". It matches the Rfam family "Bacterial small subunit ribosomal RNA", at positions 338 to 795 of the family's 1533-position model. The record is from RNAcentral.
CCUACGGGGGGCAGCAGUGAGGAAUAUUGGUCAAUGGACGAGAGUCUGAACCAGCCAAGUAGCGUGAAGGAUGACUGCCCUAUGGGUUGUAAACUUCUUUUAUAUGGGAAUAAAAUGUUCCACGUGUGGGAUUUUGUAUGUACCCUCUGAAUAAGGAUCGGCUAACUCCGUGCCAGCAGCCGCGGUAAUCCGGAGGAUCCGAGCGUUAUCCGGCUUUAUUGUGUUUAAAGGGAGCGUAGGUGGAGUGUUAAGUCAGUUGUGAAAGUUUGCGGCUCAACCGUAAAAUUGCAGUUGAAACUGGCAGUCUUGAGUACAGGAGAGGUGGGCGGAAUUCGUGGUGUAGCGGUGAAAUGCUUAGAUAUCACGAAGAACUCCGAUUGCGAAGGCAGUUCACUGGACUGCAACUGACACUGAGGCUCGAAAGUGUGGGUAUCAAACAGGAUUAGAUACCCGAGUAGUC